GACGAACGCUGGCGGCGUGCUUAACACAUGCAAGUCGAACGGAAAGGCCCUGCUUGCAGGGUACUCGAGUGGCGAACGGGUGAGUAACACGUGGGUGAUCUGCCCUGCACUUCGGGAUAAGCCUGGGAAACUGGGUCUAAUACCGGAUAGGAGCCAUUUUUAGUGUGAUGGUUGGAAAGUUUUUUCGGUGUAGGAUGAGCUCGCGGCCUAUCAGCUUGUUGGUGGGGUAAUGGCCUACCAAGGCGGCGACGGGUAGCCGGCCUGAGAGGGUGGACGGCCACAUUGGGACUGAGAGACGGCCCAGACUCCUACGGGAGGCAGCAGUGGGGAAUAUUGCACAAUGGGCGCAAGCCUGAUGCAGCGACGCCGCGUGGGGGAGGACGGCCUUCGGGUUGUAAACUCCUUUCGCUAGGGACGAAGCUUUUUGUGACGGUACCUAGAGAAGAAGCACCGGCUAACUACGUG
RNAcentral lists this ribosomal RNA (465 nucleotides) under uncultured bacterium. RNAcentral's name for it is "partial 16S ribosomal RNA". It matches the Rfam family "Bacterial small subunit ribosomal RNA", at positions 28 to 507 of the family's 1533-position model. The record is from RNAcentral.